This 89-nucleotide transfer RNA is filed under the name Clostridia bacterium. RNAcentral's name for it is "tRNA-Ser". It matches the Rfam family "tRNA". Rfam says of the family: Transfer RNA (tRNA) molecules are approximately 80 nucleotides in length. Their secondary structure includes four short double-helical elements and three loops (D, anti-codon, and T loops). Further hydrogen bonds mediate the characteristic L-shaped molecular structure. tRNAs have two regions of fundamental functional importance: the anti-codon, which is responsible for specific mRNA codon recognition, and the 3' end, to which the tRNAs corresponding amino acid is attached (by aminoacyl-tRNA synthetases). tRNAs cope with the degeneracy of the genetic code in two manners: having more than one tRNA (with a specific anti-codon) for a particular amino acid; and 'wobble' base-pairing, i.e. permitting non-standard base-pairing at the 3rd anti-codon position. Lineage: Bacteria; Bacillati; Bacillota; Clostridia. The record is from RNAcentral.
GGAGACGUAUCGAAGUGGUCAUAACGGGGCUGACUCGAAAUCAGUUUGCCUUCACGGGCACGAGGGUUCGAAUCCCUCCGUCUCCGCCA